UGAACGCUGGCGGCGUGCCUAAUACAUGCAAGUCGAGCGAACAGAUAAGGAGCUUGCUCCUUUGACGUUAGCGGCGGACGGGUGAGUAACACGUGGGUAACCUACCUAUAAGACUGGGAUAACUUCGGGAAACCGGAGCUAAUACCGGAUAAUAUUUCGAACCGCAUGGUUCGAUAGUGAAAGAUGGUUUUGCUAUCACUUAUAGAUGGACCCGCGCCGUAUUAGCUAGUUGGUAAGGUAACGGCUUACCAAGGCGACGAUACGUAGCCGACCUGAGAGGGUGAUCGGCCACACUGGAACUGAGACACGGUCCAGACUCCUACGGGAGGCAGCAGUAGGGAAUCUUCCGCAAAGGGCGAAGGCCUGACGGAGCAACGCCGCGUGAGUGAUGAAGGUCUUCGGAUCGUAAAACUCUGUUAUUAGGGAAGAACAUACGUGUAAGUAACUGUGCACGUCUUGACGGUACCUAAUCAGAAAGCCACGGCUAACUACGUG
Molecule: ribosomal RNA, 495 nt
Filed under: uncultured bacterium
Lineage: Bacteria
Description: partial 16S ribosomal RNA
Rfam family: Bacterial small subunit ribosomal RNA
Source: RNAcentral